UUGAACGCUGGCGGCAGGCCUAACACAUGCCAGUCGAGCGGAUGAAGGGAGCUUGCUCCUGGAUUCAGCGGCGGACGGGUGAGUAAUGCCUAGGAAUCUGCCUGGUAGUGGGGGAUAACGUCCGGAAACGGGCGCUAAUACCGCAUACGUCCUGAGGGAGAAAGUGGGGGAUCUUCGGACCUCACGCUAUCAGAUGAGCCUAGGUCGGAUUAGCUAGUUGGUGGGGUAAAGGCCUACCAAGGCGACGAUCCGUAACUGGUCUGAGAGGAUGAUCAGUCACACUGGAACUGAGAUACGGUCCAGACUCCUACGGGAGGCAGCAGUGGGGAAUAUUGGACAAUGGGCGAAAGCCUGAUCCAGCCAUGCCGCGUGUGUGAAGAAGGUCUUCGGAUUGUAAAGCACUUUAAGUUGGGAGGAAGGGCAGUAAGUUAAUACCUUGCUGUUUUGACGUUACCAACAGAAUAAGCACCGGCUAACUUCGUG
This 483-nucleotide ribosomal RNA is filed under the name uncultured bacterium. RNAcentral describes it as "partial 16S ribosomal RNA". It matches the Rfam family "Bacterial small subunit ribosomal RNA", at positions 30 to 507 of the family's 1533-position model. The record is from RNAcentral.